UACAGAGGGGGCAAGCGUUGUUCGGAAUUACUGGGCGUAAAGGGCGCGUAGGCGGCCUACUAAGUCGAACGUGAAAUCCCCGGGCUCAACCCGGGAACUGCGUCUGAUACUGGUGGGCUUGAAUUCGGGAGAGGGAUGUGGAAUUCCAGGUGUAGCGGUGAAAUGCGUAGAUAUCUGGAGGAACACCGGUGGCGAAGGCGGCAUCCUGGACCGAUAUUGACGCUGAUGCGCGAAAGCCAGGGGAGCAAAC
RNAcentral lists this ribosomal RNA (250 nucleotides) under uncultured bacterium. Its description in RNAcentral is "partial 16S ribosomal RNA". It matches the Rfam family "Bacterial small subunit ribosomal RNA", at positions 524 to 773 of the family's 1533-position model. The record is from RNAcentral.